UUAGCUAUCUUUAACUUUACAACUGUUACCUGAUGUCAUCUGUACAUUAGGAACAAUUUGGGUUAUUUAUAGUAUUUUUAUUUAAUGUAUAGGGGCUGGACUGAUGUUAACCACCAGCUUGACCUUCUCUCUUGUUAACCAGCUUGAUUGUGUGUUGUGAAGUCAACCUAAUGGACCUACGACGAACAGAGAAAGGUUACAUAUCCAUCACAUUUACUUUGAAACACAGAAGGUGGUGGUCUGACCUGCUGUUGAUCAACUAAUAUAUAUUCAGUUUUUUUUUUUAUCUAAACUGGAUCUGAUUCAGCUGCAGCUCUUUUGGUUGUUCCAGUCAGAGAGAUGAAGAAGCUCUGUCACCUGUCUAACAGCAUCCUGAUAGUCAGCAUUUUACUGAUUGUCUUCUUUCUUCCAGGUGCUUUGGCUCAUUGUGGUCGUGUUCUAACCCAGCACAUGUAUACACCACGUGAGAUGGAAGCUCUGAUUGGAUCUUGUGUGGAAAUCCCAUGUAAAUUUGGUACGCCGCCAGGAUUUGACAACAGCAAACCCACUUUACGGAAUCUGGAUGAAACAUAUGCCGAUACAUGAUGUGGGAGCAAGUGAAAUUAUUUUUAACAGCAGUGGGUCAAUUAACACCCAUCGAAUGGAAAUGAUUGGAGAUUUGAGAAGGAAAAACUGCACCACUCGGAUUCCUGAUGUAAAAGCAGAUCUUACAGACAAGUACUUCUUAAGAAUUGAGAACGGGGAAGCGAAAGCAACAUUUUGUGAAGAUCCUUUUAAGUUAACAGUUAUAGGUAAGAGAUCUGUUUCUUAUUGCUGUGUAAUAUACACUCACCAGCCACUUUAUUAGGUACGCCUUGCUAGUACUGUCUUGG
This is a long non-coding RNA of Xiphophorus hellerii (green swordtail), 872 nucleotides long. RefSeq lists it as uncharacterized. The transcript is spliced from 4 exons. NCBI's taxonomy places the organism in Eukaryota, Metazoa, Chordata, Actinopteri, Cyprinodontiformes, Poeciliidae. The record is from RefSeq and is a predicted model, not a curated record.